ACCAAUGGUGGAGAUGCGCGGGCAGCCUUCGGGCUGGCCGUUGUUCCUUCGGUAUUGCUACCCCGCGCAGAUCUGCCACCUUU
Molecule: non-coding RNA, 83 nt
Filed under: Candidatus Kentrum sp. TUN
Lineage: Bacteria; Pseudomonadati; Pseudomonadota; Gammaproteobacteria
Source: RNAcentral